This is a long non-coding RNA of Octopus sinensis (East Asian common octopus), 198 nucleotides long. RefSeq lists it as uncharacterized. The record is from RefSeq and is a predicted model, not a curated record. The transcript has 3 exons. NCBI's taxonomy places the organism in Eukaryota, Metazoa, Mollusca, Cephalopoda, Octopoda, Octopodidae.
GUGUGUGUGUGUGUGUAGCCCACAUUAAAGACCCCCUUCAGUCAUAAAUGAUCAUGGGAUUGCACCCAGAAAGUUCCCCUUCGAGGCACAAAUCCAGGCAUGGUUGUUUAAGAAAGACCAGCAGUCACCCAUGCAUUCCCUCUCCAUACCACUGAUGUUACCCAAGGGAAAGGCAAAGGGGCCGAUGCAGCUUGGCAC